AUACGUAGGGUGCGAGCGUUGUCCGGAAUUACUGGGCGUAAAGAGCUCGUAGGUGGUUUGUCGCGUCGUCUGUGAAAUUCCGGGGCUUAACUCCGGGCAUGCAGGCGAUACGGGCAUAACUUGAGUACUGUAGGGGAGACUGGAAUUCCUGGUGUAGCGGUGAAAUGCGCAGAUAUCAGGAGGAACACCGGUGGCGAAGGCGGGUCUCUGGGCAGUAACUGACGCUGAGGAGCGAAAGCAUGGGUAGCGAACAGGAUUAGAUACCCUGGUAGUCCAUGCCGUAAACGGUGGGCGCUAGGUGUAGGGGUCUUCCACGACUUCUGUGCCGUAGCUAACGCAUUAAGCGCCCCGCCUGGGGAGUACGGCCGCAAGGCUAAAACUCAAAUGAAUUGACGGGG
RNAcentral lists this ribosomal RNA (398 nucleotides) under uncultured bacterium. RNAcentral's name for it is "partial 16S ribosomal RNA". It matches the Rfam family "Bacterial small subunit ribosomal RNA", at positions 523 to 918 of the family's 1533-position model. The record is from RNAcentral.